AUACGGAGGAUGCAAGCGUUAUCCGGAUUUAUUGGGUUUAAAGGGUGCGCAGGCGGAAAAUUAAGUCAGUGGUGAAAUCCUACAGCUUAGCUGUAGAACUGCCAUUGAUACUGAUUUUCUUGAGUGCAUUUGAGGUAGGCGGAAUGUGUAAUGUAGCGGUGAAAUGCUUAGAUAUUACACAGAACACCGAUUGCGUAGGCAGCUUACUAAACUGUUACUGACGCUCAGGCACGAAAGCGUGGGGAGCGAACAGGAUUAGAAACCCCAGUAGUCC
Molecule: ribosomal RNA, 274 nt
Filed under: uncultured bacterium
Lineage: Bacteria
Description: partial 16S ribosomal RNA
Rfam family: Bacterial small subunit ribosomal RNA
Source: RNAcentral